GCAGCAGCAAGGAAUUUUCGGCAAUGGGCGCAAGCCUGACCGAGCAACGCCGCGUGGAGGACGACGGCCUUCGGGUUGUAAACUCCUUUUCGGGGGGACGAUACAGACGGUACCCCCGGAAUAAGGCUCGGCUAACUCUGUGCCAGCAGCCGCGGUAAGACAGAGGAGCCAAGCGUUGUCCGGAUUGACUGGGCGUAAAGCGCACGCAGGCGGCCGCGCGCGUGGGGUGUGAAAACCGCUGGCUUAACUGGCGGAGGCCACCUCAUACGGCGCGGCUCGAGCCGUGCAGAGGUCCGUGGAAUUGCCGGUGUAGUGGUGAAAUGCGUAGAGAUCGGCAGGAACACCAAGGGGGAAACCAGCGGACUGGGCACGUGCUGACGCUCAGGUGCGAAAGCGUGGGGAGCGAACUGGAUUAGAUACCCAGGUAGUCCACGCCGUAAACGAUGGACACUCGGCAUCUGGCGGGCAAUUCUGUCCGCCGGGUGCCCCAGCUAACGCGAUAAGUGUCCCGCCUGGGAACUACGAGCGCAAGCUUAAAACUCAAAGGAAUUGACGG
This 556-nucleotide ribosomal RNA is filed under the name uncultured bacterium. Its description in RNAcentral is "bacterial SSU rRNA". It matches the Rfam family "Bacterial small subunit ribosomal RNA", at positions 348 to 916 of the family's 1533-position model. The record is from RNAcentral.